UACCCGCUCCGCGAGUGGUGAGGACUAUUACUGGGCUUAAAGCGUCCGUAGCCGGCCCGGCGUGCUCCGCGUUAAAUCCAGCAGCCUAACUGCUGGGCUGCGCGGAUGACUGCCGGGCUUGGGGGUGGGAGAGGGCGGCGGUAUUCCCGGGGUAGGGGUAAAAUCCACUAAUCCCGGGAGGACCACCAGUGGCGAAGGCGGCCGCCCAGAACACGCCCGACGGUGAGGGACGAAAGCUGGGGGAGCGAUCGGG
Molecule: ribosomal RNA, 253 nt
Filed under: uncultured archaeon
Lineage: Archaea
Description: partial 16S ribosomal RNA
Rfam family: Archaeal small subunit ribosomal RNA
Source: RNAcentral